UGUUCAUCAAGGACCGGACUAAAGACUCUC
This 30-nucleotide non-coding RNA is filed under the name Mus musculus (house mouse). Lineage: Eukaryota; Metazoa; Chordata; Mammalia; Rodentia; Muridae. The record is from RNAcentral.